This 440-nucleotide ribosomal RNA is filed under the name uncultured bacterium. RNAcentral describes it as "partial 16S ribosomal RNA". It matches the Rfam family "Bacterial small subunit ribosomal RNA", at positions 339 to 795 of the family's 1533-position model. The record is from RNAcentral.
CUACGGGCCGCACCAGUCGAGAAUCUUCCGCAAUGCGCGAAAGCGUGACGGAGCAAUGCCGCGUGGUGGAUGAAGGCCUUCGGGUUGUAAACACCUGUCACAUGGGACGAACUUUGACGGUACCAUGAGAGGAAGCCACGGCUAACUACGUGCCAGCAGCCGCGGUAAUACGUAGGUGGCGAGCGUUGUUCGGAUUUAUUGGGCGUAAAGGGUCCGCAGGGGGUUUGUUAAGUCUGAUGUGAAAUCCCGGGGCUCAACCCCGGAACUGCAUUGGAGACUGAUGAACUAGAGUAUCGGAGAGGUAAAUGGAAUUCCUGGUGUAGCGGUGUAAUGCGUAGAUAUCAGGAAGAACACCGAGAGCGAAGGCAAUUUACUGGACGAUUACUGACCCUCAGGGACGAAAGCGUGGGUAGCGAACAGGAUUAGAUACCCCAGUAGUC